Molecule: long non-coding RNA, 2076 nt
Filed under: Sus scrofa (pig)
Lineage: Eukaryota; Metazoa; Chordata; Mammalia; Artiodactyla; Suidae
Description: lncRNA (ENSSSCG00005043013.1)
Source: RNAcentral
AUUGCCAAACCUCUGAGGGUUGGAGGAGGUUCACUAUUCACUGAGACAGGCAGCUGGUGGGGGUUCCCCUUGUCCAGUUGGGGCUCUGACCCUUCCUGUCCCAGCCAGCAGGACCUGAAAUCCGGGCAGUUCUGACUUGGCAGCAUGCCUCCUCAGUCUGGCACCAUCACACACCACUACCCCACCCCACGCAGCCCAGUGCUGCUGGCUCCUCGCCUCCCCCAGUCCAUUCUGCACACUGCCAGACUCAUUUCUCUAAAAAUAAUCUAAUCACACAGACAAUUACAAACUGGUAAGUGCUAUGAAACACAUAUAACAUGUAGAUCAGGGAAGGCAUCUCAGAAGAGAUGACAUGUAAGCAGAGAUUAGAAGGGUGAACGGCCAUCAUUGUGCAGCGGAAACGAAUCUGACUGGGAGCCAUGAGGUUGUGGGUUCGCUCCCUGGCCUCGCUCAUGGGUUAAGGAUCCAGCGUUGCUGUGGCUGUGGUGUAGGCUGGUGGCUACAGCUCUGAUUAGACUCCUAGCCUGGGAACCUCCAUAUGCCGCAGGUGCAGCCCUAAAAAGACAAAAGAAAAAAAAGGGGGGGGGUUGGAGAGCCCCCGCAUUGCAAGGGGGCGGGGCCAGCCUGUCCCAACUUCCUAGAGCACAUCGGAGAGGAGACACUGACUGCUGUAGGGGUCAGCCACAAAGUGUUUGCUAGGGACUUUAGCAAGAGCUGCCUUUGGGGGAGGCAGAUUCCAGAUUACAGUGGCUAGAGGAGGUACAAGCCAUGCGGGAAGCCGGACAGUCUUUGGAGGAAUCUCGCUUAAUGAAGAGAGAGGCUAAGGAUUUUUAAGACAGCAGAGGCUUGAGCAAACCUCACUGCCGAAAGGAAGACUGCUUACCUUUGUUCAUAUCCACGUAUUGAGAGGGGAGGGAGUGAUAGUGGUUGAAGGUGGAACCUCCCCCAGAGCAUGGACGGGCUGCUGGAAUCCACAGCAUGAGGCAUGGUGGGUCUGCAAUGGGACGGGAUUGUCCCAGUGAAACUGCAGAGGAAAGGGAAGCCAGCAGUGGCACACUGCAUGUCUGACCCUCAGAUCUGGGGCCAGGGUGGGGUGGGGUGGGGAGCUCUGAUCAAUUGUGCGAGGUAUCCAUGGUGUGCCCUCUGCCACAGCCAAUCUCACACUACCAGUCUGACAUUACUGGAAGCAGUGCUUGGGGGGUUUUGACAGUUGGCCCUCACCAGCUUAGGUUCAGAAGCCUGCGAAGAUGCCCAUGACCAUAUGGUCACAGGAAGGGCCAGGCAGGUGACAUAAUGGAGAAUCAGGCCAGGUGUGACAAGCAAGAGUGCAGGGGCAAGCCCUGCUGAUGGGGCGCUAUGGGAGCACAGGCGUAGGUAGCGGGAUGUUCCUGUUCCAUCUACCUGGUGGCCUGUGAUCCCUCCUGCCCCCAUUCCUUCUUUCUCCCCUUUCUCGGUUUAGGUUUUUUUGUUUGUCCCUCUUUCUUCUCUCUCAUCCUUCUCUUCUGUCCUGCUGGCCACUGACAUAGAUAAGUGAGACAGAGCUCUCACCCAAGGAGCUCACAGACAUGGGGGACGCGGUUUCGUGCCCAGAAAUCUGGUGGGUGUCGCCUACUGCCAGCACCGAGCCAGUGAGGCCAAGGACAAAAGUGCAAAGUAGCUUCUCAGACACGUGGAGGACAGGAACAAAGGGAGAGUGUGAUCCUGGCAAAGGGAUGCCACUGCCUGGGCAAAGGUGGUGAGGUGACAGACUGCUGAGGUACUCAAGUGUGGCUGAGGCUAAGGGGCCAAGGGGGUAUAGUUUGGGAGCAAGUGAGACUGAAGAGAAAGCAAGGCCCAGACCCCACCUGGCUUUGCAGGCCUCAUGAGGAAUAUGACUUUGUCCAAAGAUGACCAAGAGCAAUUGAAGGAUUUAAGGCAGAGGAGUGACAUGGUCAGAUCUACAUUUUUAAAAGGUCAUUCUGGUUAGAGUCUGACUAGAAGGGGCUGUGGUGUCCCAAGUAGAGAGACAGGGAGAUGGUGGGGAGGCUGAUAGGCCAGUUUAGUGAUUGAUGGUGCCCUGGUCUAGGCAAGCCAGUA